Solanum pennellii is the source of this 542-nucleotide long non-coding RNA. RefSeq lists it as uncharacterized. The transcript has 2 exons. Lineage: Eukaryota; Viridiplantae; Streptophyta; Magnoliopsida; Solanales; Solanaceae. The record is from RefSeq and is a predicted model, not a curated record.
UUCUCCAAAAACGUUUUUCUCUUUACUCUUUCUCCAGCUUUCUCUGAACUUAUCGAUGAACAGAAGAUGAAGAACUAAAAUUGAAGAAUUGAAUAUCCACGAACUGAGCUAAAGAUUUCUUUGAUAAUAAAGAUCGAUGAACUGAGCUGAAGCUGAGCAAUUGAAGAAAGACGAACUGAGUUGAAGAUAAAUAGCUGAAGCUAAAGAAAUAAAAGCGAAAGCUGAAGAGUUGAGCUGAAGAUUACUCAAAUAUCGACUUUGUCAAGCCUGAAAUUCCAAAGUAGGAGAAGAAAGUGCCGAAAAUCGUGAACAACAAGUGUUCCCUAGGCAUAUUCAGCAGACGAGAAAGAGGGAAUUACUACUCGGAAGCCUUUGAGUCUAUUAGAAUCUAUCUUGUUAUCAUAUUGAUUUCGUAAGAACAUACUUAUGAUGUCAAUUUCUCAAACUUCCUAGAAGGGUUGGGAUGAGAAUGACUUAUGCAUGGAGGGGUAAUUUUAUGGUGCAAUUUUUUCUUAUAAAUAAGAACAAUUGAUUUCUAGCUA